Molecule: ribosomal RNA, 250 nt
Filed under: uncultured bacterium
Lineage: Bacteria
Description: partial 16S ribosomal RNA
Rfam family: Bacterial small subunit ribosomal RNA
Source: RNAcentral
UACGUAGGGGGCGAGCGUUGUCCGGAUUUACUGGGCGUAAAGCGCGCGCAGGCGGUCGGCUAAGUGCCGGGUGAAAGCCCCCCGCUCAACGGGGGGAGGGCCGGGCAGACUGGCCGACUGGAGGCAGGCAGAGGCCGGUGGAAUUCCCGGUGUAGUGGUGAAAUGCGUAGAGAUCGGGAGGAACACCCGUGGCGAAAGCGGCCGGCUGGGCCUGACCUGACGCUGAGGCGCGAAAGCGUGGGGAGCGAAC